RNAcentral lists this long non-coding RNA (449 nucleotides) under Malus domestica (apple). RNAcentral's name for it is "long non-coding RNA (MDOM_LNC007667)". The record is from RNAcentral. Lineage: Eukaryota; Viridiplantae; Streptophyta; Magnoliopsida; Rosales; Rosaceae.
CAUGCUGAUCUGAGCAAGAGAAAAUAGAGUUUCAAAGCUCACAACAAAUCUGACGGGUUGACAGAAAAAUCAUAACCAGUCAUUCAUCAUACCUGAAUUUCUUGAGUUAUACAGCUCCGAGGGAUCUCAAAUUUGGAUAUGUUGUAGUUCACAAGCUGAGGAACAACUUCAAUGAAGAAAGCAUGCUGAUCUGAGCAAGAGAAAAUAGAGUUUCAAAGCUCACAACAAAUCUGACGGGUUGACAGAAAAAAUCAUAACCAGUCAUUCAUCAUACCUGCAUUUCUUGAGUUAUACAGCUCCGAGGGAUCUCAAUUUUGGAUAUGUUGUAGUUCACAAGUUAAGGAACAACUUCGAUGAAGAAAGUAUGUUGAUCUGAGCAAGAGAAAAUGGAGUUUCGAAGCUCACAACAAGUCUGACAGGUUGACAGAAAAAUGAUGAACAGUCACUCA